GGAAUGAUGCAUCAUCCUACUAAAGGAGCUGAAAUAAUAUAAUUGUCACGCUAAAUAUUCUUCAGCAAGUUCAAAAAGCAACCAAAAACAAUAAACACAACUCAUGAAUAAAACUUCACAUCAUCAACCCAAAUUCAGCUUCAGCUAUAAGUUUACCAGUACAACAAUACAUCAGUAAUAUAUAUCGCCCACAGCUAACACUCGUUCAUGCCUGUAGUAUCAGUAUCUUGAUCGUCUCCUACGAGGUGAACGAGACCGGGAAAUGGAACGAGAAAGAGAGAGUGAACUGGAGUGAGAAUGCGAAGGCGAAUGUGAGCAAGAGUGAGUGCGCGACCGUGAGCCAGACCUUGAACGUGAGCGAUAUCUACGAGAACUCCUUUCUCUGCUGGGACUCCGGCUACGUCGAUGCCUUCGAGGGGAACGGCUGUAACUUCUACUACGGCUUCGGCGACGAUACCGGCUUACCCGGCUUGUCUCUGCCAGCUUUUCAAGCCUCUGUUUCUCUUGUUCUCUUUUCUUGGCAGUUUCAAUAGCUGUAUCUUUCUUGAUUUGUUUGUUCAAUUGUUUGCUCAUAAUCCGCUUAAGUCUCUCCUGAGGUGUUUCCUUCUUUUCACCCUGCUGUUUAGAGAGACUUGAACUACUAGUUGUCUUGUUCAACUUAGAUAGUGCUGAAGACGCACUUGUUGGUGUUUUCAACAUUUGGCCACUCUUAUCCUUAUCAAUAGAUACCCCAGAUGCAGGAUCUACAUGGAGGGCCUCAAGAAUACGACCAGUUGAUGGCCUGCAGAAAAGUGAGAUUUUAAACAAGAAAUGUUUCAUGUUAUCAUGCAAACUGAACAGUGAAAAUGGAGACUUGCUCCCUCUUCCCCUUGACAGUUAUUCGAACAGGUGUAAAUGGUGAUAUAUUCUAAACCACAUUAAGUUCCUCAGCUAACAAAUGGAUGAAAAGCUGCAGCAGAGAAAAGACUGUCCAAUCUAGCUUUGCAAGAAUAAAAGGUCAAGUGCUCCGACCGGCUUAAUGGAUCAGUUCGAGGUGGAGGAGAUGGUGGUGGAGAAUAUCCUUCAACUUUAGGCUUGUUCUCAUCAUCUGCGCCACCAAAUUCAGUAAUAUACUCUAUCUUCGGAGUUCUUUCUUUGCCUUGGUAAAUAUCAUCAGAUUUGCCUCCACGUUCGUAGCGCCUUGAAUGGGGAGGGGAGUAUGAGAGAGACCUUGACCUGGAUCUUCUGGAACGUGAAUAAGCUUCAUAUGUCGGACUUCGACGAGAUUCACGAUAGGGAUCAUGAUGAAGAACUCUACUACCGGUAAUACGGGCAGCUUCUCUUUCCCUCUCCCUUUCUAGUUGAGAAGCUUUUCUUCUCUCUUUGCGACUUAGCUUCCUUAUUGCAGGAUCUCCCUUAAUAACUUCUCUUUGCCUCCUUUCUUCCUCCUUGGCCUUUUUGUCCGUGUAGACAAGCCAUCCAUACCGUUUCACACCAUAAUCCUUGGCAAUUGACUCCAUCACUUCAUCGUUGCUAUCAUCGCUGUUAAAAUCUUCUUCUUCCUCAUCAUCAUCGUCAUCUUCAUCUUCUUCUUCACCAUCCGAAAAGUGAGCUUCAUCUUUCCCCUCUCCAUCAUAUGAGAAACCCACUUGUGAAUACGACCCCUUGCUCACUGGAGGCUGAGAAAGCUGAGGUCUGUCAGAGCCGAGCAGUGCAGUGGUUUUAGCCUCCAUCUCCUGAUUAACAUGUUGCAUACCCUCUUCAUCUUUAACGACAUCCUCUACGCCGAUGCUUAAUUAAAUCCCGAUAACGCUGAAAAU
This 1799-nucleotide unclassified non-coding RNA is filed under the name Hevea brasiliensis (rubber tree). Lineage: Eukaryota; Viridiplantae; Streptophyta; Magnoliopsida; Malpighiales; Euphorbiaceae. The record is from RNAcentral.